GUGAGGAAUCUUCCACAAUGGGCGAAAGCCUGAUGGAGCAACGCCGCGUGAAGGAUGAAGGCCUUCGGGUUGUAAACUUCUUUUGGAGGGGACGAAUAAAUUGACGGUACCCUCAGAAAAAGCCACGGCUAACUACGUGCCAGCAGCCGCGGUAAUACGUAGGUCCCAAGCGUUGUUCGGAAUCACUGGGCGUAAAGGGUGCGUAGGCGGUAUAGUAAGACUUGGGUGAAAUCUCCAUGCUUAACGUGGAGGGAGCCUGGGAGACUGCUGUGCUAGAGGAUUGGAAGGGAGACUGGAAUUCUUGGAGUAGCAGUGAAAUGCGUAGAUAUCAAGAGGAACACCAGUGGCGAAGGCGAGUCUCUGGACAAGACCUGACGCUGAGGCACGAAGGCCAGGGGAUCAAACGGGAUUAGAUACCCGUGUAGUCC
Molecule: ribosomal RNA, 428 nt
Filed under: uncultured bacterium
Lineage: Bacteria
Description: partial 16S ribosomal RNA
Rfam family: Bacterial small subunit ribosomal RNA
Source: RNAcentral